This 1674-nucleotide ribosomal RNA is filed under the name Gastrodermus hastatus (dwarf corydoras). RNAcentral's name for it is "Corydoras hastatus (dwarf corydoras) 16S ribosomal RNA". It matches the Rfam family "Bacterial large subunit ribosomal RNA". Lineage: Eukaryota; Metazoa; Chordata; Actinopteri; Siluriformes; Callichthyidae. The record is from RNAcentral.
GCUAUAAAGCUAGCUUAAACACAACAACUAAACAACAACAUUAAUAAGUUUAUAAAAACUAGAAUAAAUUAACCAAAACAUUUUUCCGUCCAAGUAUAUGUGAUAAAAAAGACACAAUAAAGCAAUAGAUAAAGUACCACAAGGGAAAGCUGAAAAAGAAAUGAAAUAAACCAUCAAAGCACAAUAAAGCAGAGACUAAAACUCGUACCUUUUGCAUCAUGAUUUAGCUAGUUACUCUGAGCAAAGAGCACUUUAGUUCAAAACCCCGAAACUAAGUGAGCUACCCCAAGACAGUCUAUUAUAUAGGACCAACCCGUCUCUGUGGCAAAAGAGUGGGAAGAUCUUAGGGUAGGGGUGACAGACCUACCGAACUUAGUUAUAGCUGGUUGCCUAAGAAAUGGAUAGAAGUUCAGCCUCACACCCCUUAAAACAAGACCUCAUAAACUAUGAUAAUAAGAGAUAAGUGAGAGUUAGUCAAAGGGGGUACAGCCCCUUUGAAAUAGGAAACAACCUACACAGGAGGUUAAGGAUUAUACUUAUAAAGAUUACCGCUUCAGUGGGCCUAAAAGCAGCCAUCUGGACAGAAAGCGUUAAAGCUCAAGCAGACCAAAAUCACUUAUACCAAUAUUCUACUCCAAAACCCCUAACAUUAUUAGGCCGUCCCAUGCCAACAUGGAAACGACACUGCUAAAAUGAGUAAUAAGAAGGUUAAACAUUUAGACCUUCUCCUAGCCUAAGUGUAAAUUAGAAUGGACCAACCACUAAAACAUUUAACGAACCCAAACACAAGAGGGAAGUGUGAGCCAAAAAAAUAACAAGAAAACCUCACACAAGUACAUCGUUAACCCCACACCGGAGGGCUAUAAAGGAAAGACUAAAAGAAGAGGAAGGAACUCGGCAAAAAUUUAAGCCUCGCCUGUUUACCAAAAACAUCGCCUCCCGCAAAAAUCAACGUAUAGGAGGUCCUGCCUGCCCAGUGACUAUGUUAAACGGCCGCGGUAUUUUGACCGUGCAAAGGUAGCGCAAUCACUUGUCUUUUAAAUGAAGACCUGUAUGAAUGGUAGAACGAGGGCCUAACUGUCUCCCCCUUCAAGUCAAUGAAAUUGGUCUAUCCGUGCAGAAACGGAUAUAAAAAUACAAGACGAGAAGACCCUUUGGAGCUUAAGAUUAAAAAUCAACUAUGUUAAUUAUCUAUGAGUAAAACUAAAUAGCAACUGAUUAUAAUCUUCGGUUGGGGCGACCACGGAAUAAAAAUAAACUUCCACAUGGACUGAGGACUAACCUUAAAACUAAGAAAAACAUUUCUAAGUCACAGAAUUUCUGACCACACAGAUCCGGCAAACUGCCGAUCAAUGGACCAAGUUACCCUAGGGAUAACAGCGCAAUCCCCUUUUAGAGUUCCUAUCGACAAGGGGGUUUACGACCUCGAUGUUGGAUCAGGACAUCCUAAUGGUGCAGCCGCUAUUAAGGGUUCGUUUGUUCAACGAUUAAAGUCCUACGUGAUCUGAGUUCAGACCGGAGUAAUCCAGGUCAGUUUCUAUCUGUAAAGCUAUUUUUCCUAGUACGAAAGGACCGGAAAAAUGGGGCCUAUAUUUAUGGUAAGCCCCCACCCAAUCUAAUGAAAACAACUAAAAUAGAUAAAGGAGAGCACAAACUAUAAAUUUAGAUAAAAUU